This 240-nucleotide ribosomal RNA is filed under the name Lactobacillus delbrueckii. RNAcentral describes it as "partial 16S ribosomal RNA". It matches the Rfam family "Bacterial small subunit ribosomal RNA", at positions 171 to 404 of the family's 1533-position model. Lineage: Bacteria; Bacillati; Bacillota; Bacilli; Lactobacillales; Lactobacillaceae. RNAcentral also lists the same sequence under 2 other names. The record is from RNAcentral.
GGAUAACAACAUGAAUCGCAUGAUUCAAGUUUGAAAGGCGGCGCAAGCUGUCACUUUAGGAUGAGCCCGCGGCGCAUUAGCUAGUUGGUGGGGUAAAGGCCUACCAAGGCAAUGAUGCGUAGCCGAGUUGAGAGACUGAUCGGCCACAUUGGGACUGAGACACGGCCCAAACUCCUACGGGAGGCAGCAGUAGGGAAUCUUCCACAAUGGACGCAAGUCUGAUGGAGCAACGCCGCGUGA